AGUGUACGCUGGCGGUAGGCCUAACACAUGCAAGUCGAACGGCAGCACAGUAAGAGCUUGCUCUUACGGGUGGCGAGUGGCGGACGGGUGAGGAAUACAUCGGAAUCUACUUUUUCGUGGGGGAUAACGUAGGGAAACUUACGCUAAUACCGCAUACGACCUACGGGUGAAAGCAGGGGAUCUUCGGACCUUGCGCGAUUGAAUGAGCCGAUGUCGGAUUAGCUAGUUGGCGGGGUAAAGGCCCACCAAGGCGACGAUCCGUAGCUGGUCUGAGAGGAUGAUCAGCCACACUGGAACUGAGACACGGUCCAGACUCCUACGGGGGGCAGCAGUGGGGAAUAUUGGACAAUGGGCGCAAGCCUGAUCCAGCCAUACCGCGUGGGUGAAGAAGGCCUUCGGGUUGUAAAGCCCUUUUGUUGGGAAAGAAAAGCAGCAGGUUAAUACCCCGCUGUUCUGACGGUACCCAAAGAAUAAGCACCGGCUAACUUCGUG
RNAcentral lists this ribosomal RNA (492 nucleotides) under uncultured bacterium. Its description in RNAcentral is "partial 16S ribosomal RNA". It matches the Rfam family "Bacterial small subunit ribosomal RNA", at positions 29 to 507 of the family's 1533-position model. The record is from RNAcentral.